GCACCCGUAGCUCAGUGGAUAGAGCAUCCGGCUUCGGACCGGAGUGUCGGGGGUUCGAAUCCCUUCGGGUGUGCCA
This 76-nucleotide transfer RNA is filed under the name Abditibacteriota bacterium. RNAcentral's name for it is "tRNA-Arg". It matches the Rfam family "tRNA". From Rfam's summary of the family: Transfer RNA (tRNA) molecules are approximately 80 nucleotides in length. Their secondary structure includes four short double-helical elements and three loops (D, anti-codon, and T loops). The record is from RNAcentral. Lineage: Bacteria; Pseudomonadati; Abditibacteriota.